AGAACGAACGCUGGCGGCAGGCCUAACACAUGCAAGUCGAACGGAAAGGCCCGCUUGCGGGUACUCGAGUGGCGAACGGGUGAGUAACACGUGGGCAACCUGCCCCCAGCUCUGGGAUAACUCCGGGAAACCGGUGCUAAUACUGGAUAUCGACUUCUGCCUCGCAUGGGGUGUUGUUGAAAGUUUUUCGGCUGGGGAUGGGCCCGCGGCCUAUCAGCUUGUUGGUGGGGUGAUGGCCUACCAAGGCGACGACGGGUA
RNAcentral lists this ribosomal RNA (258 nucleotides) under uncultured bacterium. Its description in RNAcentral is "partial small subunit ribosomal RNA". It matches the Rfam family "Bacterial small subunit ribosomal RNA", at positions 26 to 285 of the family's 1533-position model. The record is from RNAcentral.